AUUGAACGCUGGCGGCAGGCCUAACACAUGCAAGUCGAGCGAGCGGCGGACGGGUGAGUAAUGCCUGGGAAUUGCCCAGUCGAGGGGGAUAACAGUUGGAAACGCCUGCUAAUACCGCAUACGAUUGGAUUGCCCAGGUGGGAUUAGCUAGUUGGUGAGGUAAUGGCUCACCAAGGCGACGAUCCCUAGCUGGUCUGAGGGGAUGAUCAUCCCCACUGGAACUGAGACGCGGUCCAGCCUCCUCCGGUAGGCAGCAGUGGGGAAUAUUGCACAAUGGGGGAAACCCUGAUGCAGCCAGGCCGCGUGUGUGAAGAAGGCCUUCGGGUUGUAAAGCACUUUCAGCUAGGAGGCGUUACUCGCAGAAGAAGCACCGGCUAACUCCGUGCCAGCAGCCGCGGUAAUUC
Molecule: ribosomal RNA, 404 nt
Filed under: uncultured bacterium
Lineage: Bacteria
Description: partial 16S ribosomal RNA
Rfam family: Bacterial small subunit ribosomal RNA
Source: RNAcentral